Molecule: ribosomal RNA, 2895 nt
Filed under: Triticum aestivum (bread wheat)
Lineage: Eukaryota; Viridiplantae; Streptophyta; Magnoliopsida; Poales; Poaceae
Description: partial small subunit ribosomal RNA
Source: RNAcentral
AUGGAGGAUGAAUUGUUUUGCGACAUAUCCGCGGAUUUCCUAGGCAGGAGCAAAGGGUGGAACUUCUGGCAGCAGUGUCAUCAAGUUUUGUCAAGUGGUUGCUCAGUUGGAGGCAAGAUGGUCAUUGCAUGCGGCAACGGAGGAGAUCCGCUCCGCUCUGCGCCGGCGGCCACUCCGGCGCCGGCGGCCACCCAAAAGCGCCGCCUUCCACUCCGGCGGCGGUGCCCACCUCUCCGCGGGGCCAUGGCCUCUAGGGUCUCCCUCUCUGGUUCGUUCUCGUCUGAGUACGACGCUCCCCUGUCUCCUUCCCCCCACGUGGUGCCUCUUUCCUCUCCUCCCCCCGCGCCACCGCGGCCUCAACUUCGCUCCGCCAUCAUCGUCCCCCAUAUCUUGGGCACCCCUUUCGAGCCGGUGGUGCAAGGCGGCGCGGCGGUGCCGCUGACCCGCGCCCAGCGCCCGCCACGCCGGCGGCAGGAGGGGCGGAGGCGUGUCCUGACGGCGGCUCGCCCUCCUCCCUCCUCCAAGCUCCCGGUGGAGUUGUAUGGCUGCUGCUACAACUACGGCAGUGAUGGGCAUAUCUCCAGGGGGUGCACGAACCCCACGCUCUGCGUUCGUUGCCAUGGGCCUAGUCACACCUCACGGGGCUGCACCCGUCCGCGCAGCCCAUCUCCGGUGGAGCAGCCGCCGCGCCCGCCGCCUGCUCUGCGACUUCGAGCUGCGGAUGGCCCGCGCCAGGCAUCGCUAGCUUCACCCCCGCGCUCGCUGUCGCCGGCCCCACGCUCGUGCUCGCCAGCGGACCUACCGCCCCCUCCGCCGGGUCCCCCACCGCCGGGGGCGGUGCGUCUUUGGAGCCAGGUGGUGCGGGAUCCGCCCGCAGCGCGGUCACCGUCGAUGGGAAGAUCUGCAAGUCCGGCGUUCUCGGCGCCUUUCGACCUGCCGGAGGACCAGCGCUCUCGGUCGAACCUGUGCUGGGAUGGGGAGGUGGAGGCGUGCUUUCUGGAAGCUGCGAAAGAUACGCGCUCGCUUAGGCCGAGCUGGCUCGGGGUGUGCUGGUCACCGUCGUCGGCACCAGGCCGGUGGUGGAUGUGGACGCGGCGGCGGCUACGUUGCAUGCCGCGUUCGGCGUUGGACUGGCGGAGAUGUCCAUUCGGCGCUUCUUCCCCGAGGAUUUCCUCGUGCUCUGCCAUGACGGCUCAGGCGACGGCGGCUUCCUUGCCGUACCUUGUCCCGAUUUCGCUCCGGGGUGUGCCGGCGCAUGCGUGGUGCCGGCGGACUGCCAGUGUGAUCCCGCGUGGACUGGGCUACGUCGUCGGGGUUGAUGAGGAUACUGCAGGAAGGAUUGACAUGGCGGACUUCAGGGUCUGGUUGCGCACGGACCGGCCCAGACGGAUCCCCAGCCGGCGUCUCCUCUUCAUCGACGAGCCAAGGCGCACGCUUUGGUCGGAGGCGGAUGGACGACGGUCGGCGGCCGGGCGUUGCUCAAGCGCGUUCUGGUACCCCAUCGAGAUCCUGGUGCUGCCGGGCGUCAUGGUGGAUGGUGACGGGGCGGCGCCGCCGCCGCCACCGCCACCGCCUCCCUCCCCUUCCACCGGAGACGAUGGCGGUGGCAGGGGGUCCUCUGGUGAUGGAGGUAGGGGAAGCCAUUCUCGCCGCGCUGGCGGUGGCUUGGUGCAUACGGCAGAGUCCUCGACGACGGCACCACCGCCGGCGGGUGCGCGCGCGUGCGUUCAAACCGCGCCUGUCUCGGUAGACCCGGUGGUCAACAGCAGCUGUGGCGCUGGCGUCAGAGAUUCCUUCGUGGGGCCGGUGGACCAGCCUUUGGGCGUGGAUAGGCCUGGGGCCGCCAGCUGGUCUGGCUCGCAGGUGGCGUCCUGUGCGGCCCCAGUCGGGGUGCUGCAGACCGUUGGUUCCCCUCCCUCGGUGCAAUUGGCCAGAUGGCGACGAAGCAUGGGGAUAGGACAUAGCGCUUUUCAGGUUGUAGGGCCCGGCGCGUCGGGGCUUCUGCCCUCUGCUGGGCAGAGCUUGGUGGACUCGGUCCAGAUUGCUGUGCAGGUGCUGUCGCUCUCAUGCACGGUUUCGAAUGGGAUAGGGCAAGUAGAGGCUUGGGAGACUUUCCAAGUCAAAUUGUCAGGUGGAGACUGCAGCCCAAUGCAUGUCGUCAAGCCAUGCACGCCUUUGGGGACUGCCCAGUUGGCUCCGCUGGAAGACAAGGACGGCCCAGCCCGGGUUUCCACGCCAUGCACACCCGGGAUCGAGGAACCGGUGGCCCCGCUUGAUGCUGGCCGUGUGCUGGCACCAGGCCCGAGGCCAUGCAUGACGGCAGCCAUGCAGAUCGCCACAGGGGGGAUUUUAACGUGGAUUUGGCCGAUUUUCGUGCUGACAUGCAUGUGCCAGUUUCUAACCGCUAACUGGGCCGCCUGUCCUAAGGACUGCUACUCCGGAAGCCGUUUCAAUGGCCUCUCGUUAAUUGGGCCAGUUUCGCGCACAAAAUUCAGUCCCAUGAAGCCCAUUAGCACACGAGCAUCUCCUCUCUCUCUCCCCGACCUCUCCUCUUAUCCGACCUGGCUGUGUUACCCUCACCCUAGUGCGCCGCCGCCCCCAGCCACUACCGGCGCAAACAUCAAGCCACGACUCAAUCUCUCGAUCUCGGCCACCGCAAGGCAUAGGCAUCGAACGGGGGGCAAUGAAUUUACUUCAAACUUGCUCCAUGUUAUAGGCAUCGGGUUGCCGUCGUGGCCCGCCGGCUGCCGGACGGUCGGAGCAUCCCAAUCUCGAGAGGGGAGAGACAUACGGGCUGGGAGUUCUGGAUUUGAUGUCGUCACACUGAUCAAUUCCACCAUGCCAGACGAGAAUCAUGUCGCCAUCGAUGCCUUCCACAGUCCAGAAGGACUCUAG